This is a non-coding RNA of Meleagris gallopavo (turkey), 4661 nucleotides long. The record is from RefSeq and is a predicted model, not a curated record. Lineage: Eukaryota; Metazoa; Chordata; Aves; Galliformes; Phasianidae.
UGUGGAGUUCUGGGUUUGUGGAUGGCUUGCCUGUAGUGGUUGUGUCUUGGUGAAACUGCUGUCUCUCUUUUUAAAAGCAUGGGGUAUGUUGUGAUGGAUUUGGUGUUGAGGACAAUUGAGUACUGGAGCAGCCUGCUCAAAGAGGUCACGGAAUUUCUUCUUCAAGAGAUUUUUGAAAGAAGUCUGGAUGUUUUUCCUGUGUGAUCUGCUGCAUGGAACCUGCUUUAGAAGGGAAGAGCACUUGCAAGAUCACAAGGAAUGUAUGAGAGGCCAGUUGCUCGAAUAGGUGUUCUACCAGCUGGCUGUGCACUCAAGUUAGAAUGGUGAAACAAGCUACUAGGAAUCAGAAUAAAAGUUGAAAAAGGAAGUAGAAUACUGCUGCUUGUUGCUUGGAUUUGUAACAGAAAAGGGUUUCUUUACAGGUAGGAGCAGUAACAGAAAACAUAACUGACAUCUGGGUAAAUGCAGGUAAGGAAGAAUGAAGAAAAGGAUGAUUGUGGGGGGGAUCAUCAGGCAGAGCAACAGGAAACACUAUGAAAAAAGAUCAACAAGUAAAGGUAAGGCACACUCACUUACAACUAACUUCAAACUAACUUAGAAACUAACUUGAACUUCUUUCAAACCUGUACUCUUAGAAAGUGAAAUCUUACUCUCAAUCUUACCCUGUCAGACUUACUUACAGACAAAUGUUCCAUCUUUCAAACUUGCUAUCUUUCAGCCUUCAAGGAUACAAACUUUGAAACUUCCCAACUUACAGACAUACAUUCAAACUUAUGUGCAAUCUUCGAUCUUUCAAACUUAGAAAGCAAGAUACCAACUUAGAAACCAAGAAACUUGCAUGCUUCAAGCUUUCAAACUUAGAAACCUAGAAACUUAGAAAAUAACUAAGAAACCACCUUACUUGGAAAAUUAGCACUUAGAAAACUAGAUCCCUGAACAUUCAAACUUCAAGCCUUCAAUCUUACUUACUUAGAAACACAAACUUUCAGACUUCACAUUUUUAAACUUACAGAACUAGUAACUUACAAAUAUAGAAACUUAGAAUCUAUGUUAGAAAUGUAGAAAUUUAGAAACUAACUUACAAACUGACUGACUUAGAAAAUUAGAACUUUGAUACUUAUAAGUUACUUAGAAGCUUAGACACAGAACUUAAAACUUGGAAACUUUGAACUUACUCAGAAAAUUAGAACUUAGAAACCCGGACGCUUAGAAUGUAGUUAGGAAACUAGAACUUGGAAAAUUCUAACUUACUUUUGAACUUCAAAGGUACAGACAAACUUUCAAAGUUCCAGGCAAUGUUCAAACCUUCAGACUUAAAAAAAAUAAAAUAAAAUAAAAUUUCAAUUUUUCAGACUUUCAAAUCUACUUCCACACUUUCAAUCUUGAAACGCACAGCUAGAUAAACUUCUAAACUUCAGUCUUACAAGCAUGCUUCAAACUGUCAAACUUCAAACAUACAGAAAAACUUUCAAACUUACUUUCACGUUUAUUUAGAAACUUUCCAAUGAGUAUAUAAACUUUCAAUCUUAGCACCUUAGAAAUAAGCUUUCAAGCCUACAAGCAAACUUACAAGCUUUCAUACUUACAAGCUUUCUUACAAACUUACACACUUUGAACAUUUUGACUGAUGAGCGUGGCCUACUGUAGGGAGGUGUGAAUACAUGCACAGUUCAUUAAACAACAAGAGUAGUUAUGAGAGUUUACCCAAGUCAAGCAAUGCUAGGUAAUUGUGAUGUUGCUUUGUGGUAAGCCACCUGUCACGAAGCACUUCCAGCUGAAGACUCAAUCUGCUGCACAGCCUCCAGAUGAUUUCUAAUUAGUGUAAAUUUUACCUGUGGCACGGAACCAAUAUCGCAAAAUGAUAGUUGUUUGUUUUGUACUUCCUUUUGCUCUCUUCUUCCCAGCGCUGCAAAAAUGGAUCUUUCUCAGAAUCCUAAGUAAAUCUGUGGCGUUAAGUUCUAAGAGAAGCCUUCCCCCUUCAUUUGAGGGAAGGGCGCUAUUUCCUACUAAGAGGGAAGGAAGCCUGAGAUCUCGAGAGGAAAAGGGUGUGGAAAAAAAAAUAUAUAUAUAUAUUAAAAAAAGAGAUUAAAGAAAGGAAAACCCUCACGUUUAGCACCAGAUGUUGUCCAUAACUUCAGACAGUCUGAGCAGUGCUCACUGCUGGCACUGACAUGAAAGGAACUUCUGCCAAAGUUCUCAAAGGCCAGAGAAAACCAAAGCCAACACCGAGACACACACCAAUUCCUUUCUGCUUGCGAGGGAAUGGCAGGAAGCAACGCUCCCAUGCUUAGACUGCACCAGCGUUUCUACUGCCUUAAAAUAUUAUAGCUGCUAUCCUGUUAGAGUUUUCUGCUUACAUUCUGUCUCUGGCCCAAACACCCUGUGACAUCUGAACAGCGGUCUCCUUUCCCUGGCUCACGCACCUUGCUCCCUUACCAAGAUUAACAAUAUUAACAGUAAAAUAAUUGCUGCUCAAGUUAGUUAUACUUUUAAACACAACUGGAAAGCAGCAGCAGACUUUUGAGACUCUUCAGGAGGUCAGCUACACUUUUUGCCUUAUCAAAGGAGAAUGCUAACAUGAGUUAUAGUUUUUAACCAUUUCAUCGCUGGAGUAAGAAAAAAAAAAACUUUCUACUCUGAGUUACCUGCGUGGUCUGGGAAAGCUUGACGGAGUGACAGUUAAAUGCCAUAGUGCUCACUGGGUUAUUUCUUUACAUAGCAUUUCUCAUAAUUACAAAAUGCCAAAUUCCUUACCUGCCUGUCAACUAUCUUGUCUUUCAGUCCCCCGACACCGUCUAGCAGCAGAUAACAAGCGGCAGCACAACAAAAGCUGUCCGAGAUUUCCUUCCUCCCUGGAAAGCAAUCAGGACGCGUGCGUUAUGAGUUUCAGCAGAAUGAUUGGUUGUACUCAUUAACUCAGGCUGCACAGAAAGUAUCUUUCACUCAAUUAAUCUCCAAGUAGGGGGAUAGUACUUGUGAAUCAUCUUGCCUCUCCUCGUUGCUCGGUUAGCUGUAAUUUUGUGCUCCGCUACUGCUCGCUGUUCGGAGAAGCUGUGGCCAUGACAAAUAGCAGCCACGCUCGUUACAGCUACUUUGGCAUUCUUGUGACAACCUGCACCGGGGUAUUCCUAAUUAAAGCUCAGGAGACUGGAGUUUCGCUAGUAAUAAUAUGCUCUGGAUGUAGUUUGAUUGCUCCGAGUUAUGUUUGAACUUGUAUUUUUAAAAGAGACGAUCGUUAAAUUAGUUGAAUACGCAAACACGUGCGCUUCCACACCCGCAGAUGCCAGACUUGGAGAAUAUGGCUUGCUCUAGUGGCUGGCAAACCUGCCCACGGCAGAAUCUUGGAACUACAUGAUCUUUGAAGUCCCUUCCAACCCAAGCCGUUCUCUGAUUUUCAAUAGGUGCCUCCCCAAAACCCUGAUAAGCACGUGCUGAUGCCUACAGAGACUAUUAAACGGAAAAUAAGUUACUGUAUACAAAAACUAUACAAUGAUAUCUUCAUUUUGUGGCAGAUAUACGUUUCGUGCAACGCACUGCUGGAAACGUGCUACACUGGCAGUCCGUGCUUCACGGCGUUGAAAAUGGUUCCUGACCCGUGCAGGGAUGUGAUUUAUGUAGCGUAUUUAUUCUUAUCUAUGGAGAACACCUUAUAAAUUAUACACUUCUCUUUACACACUUUGUCUUUUUUCUGCAAGGGGAAGGUCAUCUCAUCCAUUUGUGUUGGAGAGAGCAGUCGCAGCAGGAGAAAGACAAACCUGAGUGUAUUCGCAGUCUUUAUCUCAUUCAUAACCAGAUAUCCACUUACACCACUUAUUCCUUUCCAUUCUUAUGCUCUCUAGGUAACAUAGUGGACAUACUGAAUAACGUAUAAUUUCAUAUACUCCCUUAUGCUAAAAAAAUUCAUUAUCGCAAAGUCAAUUAAAUGUGUAGGUUGCUCCAAAAGUAAUGCUUCCUACUUAUUUCCUAGGAAACUACAGCAAAUGCAAAGAGUACGGCAACGCUAUUUGACCGAGAAGUUUAUCAGCUACAAAAUGCUGUUUAUUUCUCAGUGUGGUCACAACCAUUAGCUUUGAACUUCGACCGGCAAUGAACAAGAGCUUGCACGCCGUACUUGUAAAAAUCUGCACGGAUUUCUCCAACCUGGAUAUCUCACUUAAAAAGACAUCACCCAGACAUUGACCAUCUGAUGCGCUAAAUCUGAAUGGGUCAUUAUUUUGAAAAAAGAUGAAAAGGAGCGGCCGUGCUGUGAGUUCUGUGGGCACUGCACCAAGGACAAGCACAGCCUUAUUCUGCAGAUUAAUCACUCACUUAAACGAAAUGAGAAGCAUCAGAAAUUGAAAACUAAGAUUAUUAAGCCAGUCACAAAUUUAGAAGAAACUCAUUGGAAUAGAAUACGGUCAGAAAGUCAUAUAUAGGGCCAAAUUGCUUACAAAUAUUUCUGCACGUUUGAAUUAGAAUUCCUGUUUCUCAUCCAAACCAAGUUUAUGCUCAUUAUGUUUACUCUCGCAUUUUAUCUUUGUGUGAGAAAGGUUAAAUAAAAGCAUUUGGCGAGUUUUUGCAAUUAAAGAGCUUUCACAAGUUGUUAAUAUUCGUUACUGGUAUUGUCCGCAUCCCACCUACAAACACAGAAUUUCCCUACUGACUCUAUAACAUGAGAGUUC